GGGUUGUGAGGUUAAGCGACUAAGCGUACACGGUGGAUGCCCUGGCAGUCAGAGGCGAUGAAGGGCGUGCUAAUCUGCGAUAAGCGCCGGUAAGGUGAUAUGAACCGUUAUAACCGGCGAUACCCGAAUGGGGAAACCCAGUGUGAUUCGUCACACUAUCAUUAACUGAAUCCAUAGGUUAAUGAGGCGAACCGGGGGAACUGAAACAUCUAAGUACCCCGAGGAAAAGAAAUCAACCGAGAUUCCCCCAGUAGCGGCGAGCGAACGGGGAGGAGCCCAGAGCCUGAAUCAGCAUGUGUGUUAGUGGAAGCGUCUGGAAAGGCGCGCGAUACAGGGUGACAGCCCCGUACACAAAAGCGCAUGUGCUGUGAGCUCGAUGAGUAGGGCGGGACACGUGGUAUCCUGUCUGAAUAUGGGGGGACCAUCCUCCAAGGCUAAAUACUCCUGACUGACCGAUAGUGAACCAGUACCGUGAGGGAAAGGCGAAAAGAACCCCGGCGAGGGGAGUGAAAAAGAACCUGAAACCGUGUACGUACAAGCAGUGGGAGCCCCACCACUAAGCCAGUGGUGAACUCCACAUACGCAUCCUUUGCUGAGGAUACGGUUAACGGAGCGAAAGCGACGUUCAACCGCAAAAGAAGCAGAGGGGGCUUAGUGGUGGUGUGACUGCGUACCUUUUGUAUAAUGGGUCAGCGACUUAUAUUCUGUAGCAAGGUUAACCGAAUAGGGGAGCCGGAGGGAAACCGAGUCUUAAUUGGGCGUUAAGUUGCAGGGUAUAGACCCGAAACCCGGUGAUCUAGCCAUGGGCAGGUUGAAGGUUGGGUAACACUAACUGGAGGACCGAACCGACUAAUGUUGAAAAAUUAGCGGAUGACCUGUGGCUGGGGGUGAAAGGCCAAUCAAACCGGGAGAUAGCUGGUUCUCCCCGAAAGCUAUUUAGGUAGCGCCUCGUGAAUUCAUCUCCGGGGGUAGAGCACUGUUUCGGCUAGGGGGCCAUCCCGGCUUACCAACCCGAUGCAAACUGCGAAUACCGGAGAAUGUUAUCACGGGAGACACACGGCGGGUGCUAACGUCCGUCGUGAAGAGGGAAACAACCCAGACCGCCAGCUAAGGUCCCAAAGUCAUGGUUAAGUGGGAAACGAUGUGGGAAGGCCCAGACAGCCAGGAUGUUGGCUUAGAAGCAGCCAUCAUUUAAAGAAAGCGUAAUAGCUCACUGGUCGAGUCGGCCUGCGCGGAAGAUGUAACGGGGCUAAACCAUGCACCGAAGCUGCGGCAGCGAACGUAUCACUUAAAGCGAUUCAGCGGGUUACGAUUGACGGAGCGAAGCGACGUCAAAGCGUAUACAAAGUCGAGUCGGUUUAAGGAUACGUUCGUUGGGUAGGGGAGCGUUCUGUAAGCCUGUGAAGGUGGCCUGUGAGGGUUGCUGGAGGUAUCAGAAGUGCGAAUGCUGACAUAAGUAACGAUAAAGCGG
This 1471-nucleotide ribosomal RNA is filed under the name Salmonella enterica subsp. enterica serovar Bovismorbificans. Its description in RNAcentral is "partial 23S ribosomal RNA". It matches the Rfam family "Bacterial large subunit ribosomal RNA", at positions 1 to 1320 of the family's 2925-position model. The record is from RNAcentral. Lineage: Bacteria; Pseudomonadati; Pseudomonadota; Gammaproteobacteria; Enterobacterales; Enterobacteriaceae.